UGCAUAUGUACAUAACCUCGCGUCUAAGGCAUGGCCCGCUAGAAAAACCUUACUAACGAAUUUUCUAGCGGGAAUUAAUAUGUAGAAACCGGAGUUCAAUUAUAAAAAUUCCAUAAAUUAUUAUUAUAUCAGAAGCUUUAUUAUGUGUAUCGUAAAUAAGAUUAAUAAAUAAAAUUAAUUAUAGUGUUACACAAAGUUGGAAAAACUGUCAUAAAUAAAUUAUUGUGAAUAUUAAACUUCAAGUGCGUUAUUUUGGUACACAUAUUUACAUAAAUAUGUCUAUACUCUAUAUUACAAACAUGAAGGUAUUGCAAACAAAUUAAUAGAUGCUGUCGCACAUUCAACUCCAUCUUCUUCACGAUUGAGGCGGAAAUCGAUUAUGUUGCAAAGACACAGUUUCUAACUCACCAAUCAGCUUAAAUAUAUCCAUAUGUACACACACGAUCAAAACGAAAUGCACAAAUUUUAGUGCUUACAUCUAAAGAGACACUGGCCACUUGUAAAUUGGAUAUGUUUGUAUCUUUUGAUCAAAUUGGGUUCAAAUCAAAUCUAUAUUGGGUAUAGAAAAUCAAAAAUCGCGUUGAAGUAUCAGAAGUUCCAGAAGUUUCAGAAGGUCCUGAAGUUCCAGAUGUUCCAGGAGGUCCAGAAGUUCCAGAAAGUCCCAGUCGUUCCAAGGGGCCAAUAAGAGAGGGCUACCUGAUUGCGACCUUUGAAUCAUCCGCCACUUACUUUCGCACGUUAUUUCAAUAUGUAAUCAAGUGCAUCUUUCUGCUGGCCUUUUAUUAGCAACUUUAACAUUAAUUAUCCUAAAAUUUAUAUACUGUCUAUUUCAAAAUCCGGAUAUCAUUGGAAUCAGCUUCUAAGUUCUAUUAUUGUACCAAAUCUCAUUAAAAAGUGUGCGUCAACUCUGGGGGAUCUUCUUUUGUCAGGUGGAUGUCCGCCUUAUGUUAUUAAAUGAUCGACUGUUAACCAA
Long non-coding RNA from Megalopta genalis, 973 nucleotides. RefSeq lists it as uncharacterized. The record is from RefSeq and is a predicted model, not a curated record. Lineage: Eukaryota; Metazoa; Arthropoda; Insecta; Hymenoptera; Halictidae.